GGGGAAUAUUGCGCAAUGGGGGAAACCCUGACGCAGCAAUACCGCGUGAGUGAAGAAGGUUUUCGGAUCGUAAAGCUCUGUUAUUGGGGAAGAAAACGUGUGGGCUAAUAUCCUGCGCGGAUGACGGUACCUUGACAAGAAGCACCGGCUAACUACGUGCCAGCAGCCGCGGUAAUACGUAGGGGACAAGCGUUGUCCGGAUUUACUGGGCGUAAAGGGCACGCAGGCGGUUUUUUAAGUCAGAUGUGAAAGGUACCGGCUCAACCGGUGACAUGCAUUUGAAACUGAAAGACUUGAGUAUUGGAGAGGCAAGUGGAAUUCCUAGUGUAGCGGUGAAAUGCGUAGAUAUUAGGAGGAACACCGGUGGCGAAGGCGGCUUGCUGGACAAAUACUGACGCUGAGGUGCGAAAGCGUGGGGAGCAAACA
This 426-nucleotide ribosomal RNA is filed under the name uncultured Acetobacterium sp. RNAcentral describes it as "bacterial SSU rRNA". It matches the Rfam family "Bacterial small subunit ribosomal RNA", at positions 356 to 774 of the family's 1533-position model. The record is from RNAcentral. Lineage: Bacteria; Bacillati; Bacillota; Clostridia; Eubacteriales; Eubacteriaceae.